CACCGCCGCACCCUUUCUUCUCUCAUUGAUCCACAUCCUUGCCCCAAAGAUGGCAUCUCUUUUUCGGUGCAAAUGUUUGGUGUUAUUCACCGAUCUCACAUCACAAACGGGUCUGGUGCUAAUCAUUUUGGAGCAGACUAUAGCAUGUUGAUUGUUCAUGGCAUUUCAAGGGCUCAAUUGAGAAAGGCUUGGUAUAUCUCAAACGUCUCGAUGAAACCUGCGGUUGGUGGUGUGUGAGGUCGUUAGGUACAUCAGUGCAUAGAAACUUGUAGUCUGAGGAGCUUGAAGUGUCAUGUUGCGUGUUGUUUGAUGAGAACAUUUAAUAUUAUUGUUAGGAUUUGAGUUUGACUUGAUUGUGUUAUUUUAAUUAAGUUGGUAAAUGGAAGAAGAUAAAACAGAGAAUAAUUGCAGCAGAAAUGAAUGUAAAACUUUAUUACACAA
Molecule: long non-coding RNA, 441 nt
Organism: Helianthus annuus (common sunflower)
Lineage: Eukaryota; Viridiplantae; Streptophyta; Magnoliopsida; Asterales; Asteraceae
Exons: 4
Source: RefSeq, a predicted model, not a curated record